RNAcentral lists this ribosomal RNA (1030 nucleotides) under Duganella sp. 6_96. RNAcentral describes it as "bacterial SSU rRNA". It matches the Rfam family "Bacterial small subunit ribosomal RNA", at positions 56 to 1080 of the family's 1533-position model. Lineage: Bacteria; Pseudomonadati; Pseudomonadota; Betaproteobacteria; Burkholderiales; Oxalobacteraceae. The record is from RNAcentral.
UGCAAGUCCGACGGCAGCGCGGGGCAACCUGGCGGCGAGUGGCGAACGGGUGAGUAAUAUAUCGGAACGUACCCUGGAGUGGGGGAUAACGUAGCGAAAGUUACGCUAAUACCGCAUACGAUCUAAGGGUGAAAGUGGGGGAUUCGCAAGAACCUCAUGCUCCUGGAGCGGCCGAUAUCUGAUUAGCUAGUUGGUAGGGUAAAAGCCUACCAAGGCAUCGAUCAGUAGCUGGUCUGAGAGGACGACCAGCCACACUGGAACUGAGACACGGUCCAGACUCCUACGGGAGGCAGCAGUGGGGAAUUUUGGACAAUGGGCGCAAGCCUGAUCCAGCAAUGCCGCGUGAGUGAAGAAGGCCUUCGGGUUGUAAAGCUCUUUUGUCAGGGAAGAAACGGUGUUUUCUAAUACAGAGCUCUAAUGACGGUACCUGAAGAAUAAGCACCGGCUAACUACGUGCCAGCAGCCGCGGUAAUACGUAGGGUGCAAGCGUUAAUCGGAAUUACUGGGCGUAAAGCGUGCGCAGGCGGUUUUGUAAGACUGUCGUGAAAUCCCCGGGCUCAACCUGGGAAUGGCGAUGGUGACUGCAAGGCUAGAGUUUGGCAGAGGGGGGUAGAAUUCCACGUGUAGCAGUGAAAUGCGUAGAUAUGUGGAGGAACACCGAUGGCGAAGGCAGCCCCCUGGGUCAAAACUGACGCUCAUGCACGAAAGCGUGGGGAGCAAACAGGAUUAGAUACCCUGGUAGUCCACGCCCUAAACGAUGUCUACUAGUUGUCGGGUUUUAAUUAACUUGGUAACGCAGCUAACGCGUGAAGUAGACCGCCUGGGGAGUACGGUCGCAAGAUUAAAACUCAAAGGAAUUGACGGGGACCCGCACAAGCGGUGGAUGAUGUGGAUUAAUUCGAUGCAACGCGAAAAACCUUACCUACCCUUGACAUGGCAGAAAUCCUCGAGAGAUUGAGGAGUGCUCGAAAGAGAAUCUGCACACAGGUGCUGCAUGGCUGUCGUCAGCUCGUGUCGUGAGAUGUUGGGG